AAAGAAAUGUCUAUUAUUGCAGAAGUUUAGAUCACAGUAUAGAGGAAUUAAUUAGAAAGUUUAAGCUACAGAGACGUAUCAAACCAUGUUUACGAGAGUGUAGCUUUGACGAAAACAACCAUUGAAUGAUAUGCAUCAUUACGUACAACCGUCACUCUGUCACUGGCAUAAAACAAUUAGAACGUCAAGAGGCGAAAUAGAACAAUAUAAUUUUUCUUAUUAUUACUCUUAAUACGGUUUAUUAAGAGGAGAUUUUUUUGUAUGUUACGUAACACGCGCUUAAAACUAAUGCUUAUAAUAUACCACUUGAGGUUAUGACUAAAUUCAAAAUUUUUAUUUUUCGACACGUUUCUCAAUCCGCAAACAAACUUAAAAAGUAUGUCUAGUGCUUUAUCUGUAAAAUAAUGCUAAAAUGAAGAGAUUUUAGAUGAUACGCCAAAGAAAAGAUGAUGUCUGAAGUUCAGUAAGUUUUGCUUAUAUGGCUGUAAAUAUUGCGUCAAUUUUGAAGCAUCAUUGAUAAUUGUAUUUUAAUUGGCAAUUUUUAACUAUUAUUUUAUGUUUCUCAACCGGUAGAUGCAUUUAAAAAGGUAGCUAACUCUAUAAAUUAGAGAAUAAAGCUAAAAUAAAGUAAUUUUGAGAGGAACGCCAAAAAGAUUUUCGGUUUUAAACACUUUUCAUUGCAAAUACGUGACAUUGAAAAAAAUUGCCUCUUACGUAUAUAAAAUUGCACCAAGGUGAAAUACUUUUUAUUUACGAAACGCUUUAUACUCCAUGAAGAUAGAGUGUAAAAAUUGCACAUGCACUAUUAAAAGUUGAAAGGUUCAAAUAGAUAUAAUUAAUAUUAUAAAUAUAUAAUAUUAUAAAUAUUUAUAAUCAGUCAUGUGUGGAAUAAACUCCCACAAAACAUUAAAUGUGCAACAACAGUCAGCCAUUUUAAGGCAAUGUUAAAAAGCUUGGUGCUAAAGGACAUUAAGAAAGGCUGCACUUGUAAUAGAUGUCUAUCUUAAACUAUACGUACUUUUGAACUAUUCUUAUGUUAUAGCUAUCUAUUAAUAAUUCUAGUAUCCUAAGGUUUUUGUAUAUAUGUA
Non-coding RNA from Paramuricea clavata, 1088 nucleotides. The record is from the annotation of a GenBank genome assembly. Lineage: Eukaryota; Metazoa; Cnidaria; Anthozoa; Malacalcyonacea; Plexauridae.